Molecule: ribosomal RNA, 421 nt
Filed under: Klebsiella pneumoniae
Lineage: Bacteria; Pseudomonadati; Pseudomonadota; Gammaproteobacteria; Enterobacterales; Enterobacteriaceae
Also listed under: 1 other name
Description: bacterial SSU rRNA
Rfam family: Bacterial small subunit ribosomal RNA
Source: RNAcentral
CGGUCCGGCCGGGAACUCAAAGGAGACUGCCAGUGAUAAACUGGAGGAAGGUGGGGAUGACGUCAAGUCAUCAUGGCCCUUACGACCAGGGCUACACACGUGCUACAAUGGCAUAUACAAAGAGAAGCGACCUCGCGAGAGCAAGCGGACCUCAUAAAGUAUGUCGUAGUCCGGAUUGGAGUCUGCAACUCGACUCCAUGAAGUCGGAAUCGCUAGUAAUCGUAGAUCAGAAUGCUACGGUGAAUACGUUCCCGGGCCUUGUACACACCGCCCGUCACACCAUGGGAGUGGGUUGCAAAAGAAGUAGGUAGCUUAACCUUCGGGAGGGCGCUUACCACUUUGUGAUUCAUGACUGGGGUGAAGUCGUAACAAGGUAACCGUAGGGGAACCUGCGGUUGGAUCACCUCCUUACCUUAAAGAA